CUCAGUCGGAUCUCUCGACUGAGAUCUCCAAUCGAAAUUUUUUUUUUUAAAAAAAAAAGGGAGACAAAGGGAGCAAGAAGGAGCAAAGCUACAGUAGAAGAUGGACCAGCAGAGAGCAGAAGGACACAAAGGAAUAUGGCCGACUCUCUCUCUGUCUCGCACUUCCUCAUCUUCCCUUUCUUCUUUAUUUAUUUAUUUUUUUAGUCAGUCGAAUCGGGGGCGGGCUGGAGGCCGGCUCUCUCUCUCUGAUUCAACAGAAUCGAUCUGGAAUGGGGAUGGUUAAGUAACAGAGAUGGGUGGGGGAGAGAUGGGCUUGAGAUCUCGAACCGGGUGGGAGCAAAAUGUCUCUGAGAUAGGGUUGUUGGUGAUCUGAAAUUUGGGGUGGUUGGUCGACGGUCGAAUCUGAAAUGGGGGUUGUUGCCUUGCCUGUUCAUCUGAUCUGCUGCUUCUUCUUCUUCUUCCUCCAUGCUCUUAGAGAGAAGAGAUUGUCGGGUGGAAGAUGCUGAAAACCCCAACUCAUAGAAGGAAGAGGGAGAGGGUCGAGAAGGAGAUGGCGGAGAUAGGUGGAAGAGCAGUCACCGAUGGUUGAGAUGGUUAAGAUGUGAUGAUGACGUAGGGUUUCUUCAAGGGAAGGGCGAGAGAAGAAGAUGAAGAAGUGAUGAUCUGAUGAUGUUUGUUUUCUUUACUUGUUUUUAAAUUUUAAAUUUUAUUUUAUUUUUAUUAUAAUUUUUAAAUGAUUCUUAUUAUGAAAAUGCUAGUUGAUACGUGAACAGUCAUGCGAGAGCCACAUCAUCGAGAUUAACAGGUCGACGUCCACCUAGGAUCCACGGCAUUAAAAUCUAAAGCUGUUACCUCAAAAUUGUCAAAAUAUAGUUGAUGGAUACAUUUUUAAAAUUUUUUACAUUCGAUUGGUACACUUUUGAAAGUUUAUCCCGAAGUGUUACAUUGAUAAUAAAAUUUGUACAAACUGUGUAAUUUACUCCGAUCUUUCUUGACGGAUAUUUACCUCAAAGAAAAAAUUUCAAAAUUGCAUCGGAAAUAUUAAUUUGAAAGGUUUAAAUUAGAAAUCUAAAAUUGAUUCCCCUUCUCGUUUCCUCCUUUUCUCUAUUUCAAAUACUUCAUCUCUCGCUUUUAUCUCUCUUCACAUUUCUCCUAUUCCUCAUCUUCUUCUAUACAUCAUUAUCAUCUCUGCUCUUUCUCAUUUCUCUUUCCUUCCUUCCUUCCUUCCUCAUCUGCCCUUCAAGUCCCGGCACUUUCCUUUCUUAUACAAUUUGAUACAGAGACAAAGACAGAGAGAGAGAGAGCUGCUUUAAAAAGCUUAAAACCGCCAAGAAAACCAGGUGCUGGUGCUUUCCCUCUGUUUGCUCCAGGACUGCCAUCCUCGGAGCUCGAUUUCUCGCUGUUUCGAAGAAAAUUGACUCUUUCCCCCAGUGACUGUCACUUUGUGCAAAAGGAAUGACCUUUGAAUUUUUCGAUAUCUUCUAAGAAUCUUAUUACGGGAGAGAUUGGAUAAGUGAUGGGAAUCAAUGAAUUCUCCUCUCCGUAUAUUAGUAUGUAUAUUAGCAUACUCAUGUAUAUUGGGCCAGUAUGUUAUAUAUAGGAGCAUGUAUUGAAUUUGUUCUUACCAUCAAUGGAAGAAUUAGCUUUUCAUGCUCA
Punica granatum (pomegranate) is the source of this 1656-nucleotide non-coding RNA. Lineage: Eukaryota; Viridiplantae; Streptophyta; Magnoliopsida; Myrtales; Lythraceae. The record is from RefSeq and is a predicted model, not a curated record.